CGGCACACGCGCAUUGCUAAAAGUGUCAAAUUGGCAAAAGUGCUUUGCUUUUGCUGUGCGAGAAACAAACAAAACACAGAGAAAUGAAAAUGAAAUAUUCUAAAACAAACUUUGAGGCCUACUGGAAGAAGUGCUGCUGCUGUUGGUAAGAGAGGGGCAUGCGGAGUGAGUGUGUGGAGUCUAUAAGAAAUUGAUAUCAUUUAUCAAACUGACACAUACAGAGAAAAGAGCGUGGGGCAGGCAGGCUGCCAGGCUGCCAGGCAUCACCGUCCCAUUCCAGCAGCUGGAGAUGGAACUCGAACUGGAACUGGAACUCGAACUGGCGCUCAAGCGAAUCUUUUCUUUGGAAACUUUUGCAAAUGAGGCAGCAGUCAGCAAACGGCACAUAAAUAAACAUGGAACAGCAGCAGCAGUGGCAGUGGAUUUCGGGGUUGGGGUUGGGGUUGGUAGGCGUGGCAUACGCCUAAUUGAAUUCAGCUUUCAAGAGUAAGCGAGAAAGGCAUAAAUAAUCAUGAGAUCGUCGUCGGUCCGUUUGUCGGCGUUGUUCUGCCACAAAAUUAGUUCAUUAAAGAAGUUCAGGCAUGAUUUGCAUAUCACCCCGGCCUCCCCCCAUGAUUAAAUAAAAAAUAUAUAAAGAAGUGUGCCCGAAGAAGACCUCAAAAAUGAAAAAAGAAACGAAGGAAAUGUAAAUUAAAGUAAACAAUCCAAAGAGCUAUUCAAAUUGUUUUUUCCACCCUCGAAAAAAGAAAAAAAAUUCCAAUUGCCAAAAACUUCAAAAGUCAGCAACAUGCAACAUGAAUAUCAAAAUCGACGGCGAAGAGCCAUAAAAAAUAUAUAUAUAUAAAUGUAUAGGAAGAGGCACGAGAGCGUAUAAAAAAGAGUGUUUGAGUUUGUAUUUUCAUGGAAAACGAGUGCAUCAGCAGCAGCAGCAGCAGCAACAGAAGCGGCAGAAGGGGCACCAACAAAUCAAUGCCCCACCAACAAUAACCCAGAACGGAACCCCCAGCGCAGGAACAGCGAAACAUUGGGGCAACACCAGCGCAUGGAGGAGCUGUGCGUGUCAGGGCCAGAGAGAGAGAGAGAGAGAGAAAGAAUGAGCGGAAAAGGCGCACAAAAAAUGCUCGUACAAAUAAUUCUGGGAAGCCCUUAGCGAUCAGCGGCCCCGUCCCGGGCACUUGUAAUAAAAAAUAUUUUCAAUAAUAAAGUGUAUUAAGUUGUGAAGUGCACAGACACACACCCACACACACACACACACACGCAGAUACAGAUACUCGUACACACUCACAAGUGAAAAUAAAUGAAAUGUGAACCAUGGA
This 1316-nucleotide long non-coding RNA is filed under the name Drosophila guanche. The record is from RNAcentral. Lineage: Eukaryota; Metazoa; Arthropoda; Insecta; Diptera; Drosophilidae.